Molecule: transfer RNA, 40 nt
Filed under: Aremonia agrimonioides
Lineage: Eukaryota; Viridiplantae; Streptophyta; Magnoliopsida; Rosales; Rosaceae
Description: partial transfer RNA-Phe (GAA)
Source: RNAcentral
GUCGGGAUAGCUCANCUGGUANAGCAGAGGACUGAAAAUC